GAAUGAGCCUGCAGGUCCAAGGUCGUAUCCUAAAUUUAUCUUUUAGUAUGUUGUCUUUUCAAGUAAUUACAAAUCUUAAUAAAAUUCUUUUGCUAAAAAUUCUGGUGACACAUCUGUCUCUCUCCCUCUCUCUAUGAAUGUGCUAUUUGAUCCCACAUCUUAUGGGGAUAGGUCUCAAGGUUAACAGAGGAGGGUAAAAACGUGAUAAAUGUUUUUUUUAAAGUGCAUAUUUGUGGUUGAGCCUCUUAAUUUGGAGAAGUUAAAGUUUCAAAUGGGAAGAUAAAACCCAAGAUGAAGAGACAUCAAUGUGUGGAGUAAAAUAGGAAAAUUACAACUAUAUAGCUUUCUCCAACAUGAUGGAUUUGCUGCUAGUAAACAUUGUUUACAGGAUCACACGGAAAGAGAAAUGAUAACAAAAAUGAGGGGAAAAAUAAUGAACUCAUUUCUAUUCGUUUUAGUUUAUUGUCAUAAUAUGGUUACUUUUUUACCAUUUUUAUAAUUGAAAUGAUACACAAUCUCAUCCACAGGAUGAUUAUGCUUUUCAUGAAUUGUUAUUUAUGUUGGUACUGACUUUAUUGCAUUAAAUCUUUAUAUGUAAUUUUGUUGAUUUUAGCUCCGUGCUCCAUUUUCUUAUUGGUUAUAUUAGGUGCCAUCCUACAGAAGAGCAUCAUGAGGAGGAAGCUCGAGAUAGACCAGAAAUUAAUGGUCAUGAUUUUUCACAACGACAUCUGAGCAACUGGGUAGAUGCAAAUGAAGAUGAUGAUGAUGAUGCAGAUGAAAAUGAAUUGUGUGUUCAGCCAACGCCACCAUAUUAUGAAGAACAGUAGCACUGAGUGAUCUCUGUCACUAUGAUAGGCAGAUGCUUCUGCUUACUUCUGUU
RNAcentral lists this unclassified non-coding RNA (880 nucleotides) under Hevea brasiliensis (rubber tree). Lineage: Eukaryota; Viridiplantae; Streptophyta; Magnoliopsida; Malpighiales; Euphorbiaceae. The record is from RNAcentral.